This 2156-nucleotide non-coding RNA is filed under the name Pongo abelii (Sumatran orangutan). The record is from RNAcentral. Lineage: Eukaryota; Metazoa; Chordata; Mammalia; Primates; Hominidae.
GCGCGACGCGGGCGCAAUGGCGGGGACUCGGGGCUUGAUGCUGCUUGGGCCUGGCCCAGUGGCGGGUCCUAGGACGUGGGUACCUGCAGAGGCCAGCAGAUGGAGAUUCAGAAACAUAAGGACAACAAGAAACUUCCCCAAGGUAUCAUUACAGUCUUUAGACUUCAGACACACACCACACCUCAAAUGUAUACACAACUGAAAUGAAAAUUCAGGAAGUUUUUCAAAGAACCCUAUUCCGAGUAAGAAGUGUGUUGCAUGAAUUUCUAAGGUCAAAGAUGUUGAUUCAUUCAUAGUGUGAGGCCCAGAAAUCUGCAUUUUUAAACAAGUACCCUGGACAUUUCUAAAGCUGGCUAAAGUUUGAGAGACACUAUCCAAGGGAAAUUUCUCCCUAACUCUUUUUCUCAGAAGAAAAGUAAAAUAAAAGUAAAAAUAAGCAGUACCACUAAGUUUCAAGUGAUCUUCUCCUAAAAGAAGAAAAGGCCUAUAUUCAGGCACAAGAAAAGUAUAUUCUCUUUUAUCCAUGCAGAAAACAGCUAGUGGUUGAAAAUCAACACUUCAGACCUCUUGUCUACAUAAAGCCAACUGCCCCUUUGUUUACUGAUGUCUUCAAUGAUUUUACUUAGGUUUUUCUACGACAUUUACUGAGUUAGAUAAGCAGACACAGAUCCAGUCCUUGGAGACUCUCUACUGAAUCAGCACUCUUAGCUUCACUGACAUAGUCUCUUGGUAGACCUGAAGGUGUAUCUUUUCUGGAAAGACUGCACAAAAAGCAUUAUUUAUCUGAACACUGAAUUCUGACUUCCUUGCUAUUUUAGGGAGUCACUUUAAAACAUUUUCAACAUUUGCUAUUUUGUAGCAAGAAAUCCUUCAGAAGGAGGUCAAGUGAUGGCCUUUAUCUGUUCCCAGCGUCUUGCCCUUGGGUCCUCAGGGCACCCCCUGGACAGCAGCCUUAGGAACCAGGUACAAAGCACAAGCACUGCUGGUCCGCAUGGUACAGGAAUCACUUCCAGACUGGGCCUUCCCAUGGGCUUCCCUGAGCUUCCUGGACUCAAAUCAUAGUCCUUCUUUUUCUCUCCCCUUUGGACUUGAUAACCGCAGUCCCAUUCAUUUAAUCUCCAACUUAGAAAUCCAGAGAAUGUGAGUCCUGGGAUUUACUUUCAGACAUCCUCAUCGAUAACCUUGGCCACUUAGGUUGCUGCAGCCUGUCCCCAGGGAGGCAGUUAGACUGGAACAAUGACACAAACAACACCAACAAUAACAACAGCAGCAGAAGCAGAAGCAACAAUAGUAGAACUAGAAAUAAUUUAUAACAUGCUUACUACAUGCCAGGCACUAAGUGCUUACCCAUAUUAACUCAGUUAAUCCUUAUAACAACCAGAUGAGGUAGAUUUUCUUAUUAUCCACAUUUCACAAAUGAGCAAACAGAGGCACAAGCAGGUUAAGAAACCUGCCCAAGGUUAAACAGCGAGGAACAGAGCAAAGAUUUGAACCCUAGGAGUAUUGCUCGGGAGUCCAUGCUGUUACUCAUUUCUUUAUGCUGCCAUAAUCUAAUAUAAAAUUGAAUAACAAUAAAUGCAUCUUAUAUUUGUAUAGCUAUACACAUUAAUUUACAUGAUCUUCAUAAGAACUAUGAAAUGGCUAUGAUUAUCCCCAUUUUUAAAAUGAUACUAUAAAGGCAUAAAAUGCUGUAUUUAUGGUAUGCAACCCUUUGGUGAACAACCCGAUAAAUAUUUAAUUACUUAUAUUGAUGUUCUUCCUACAUCUGAGAAAAAUGUUAUUUCCAUUCCCAAGAUGUUAGUAGAGACAAAGAUUUUUCAAUUUGUCUCCUUGAUUUUGUUGGAUUAUAGCAUUAAAGUUAGUUUUACAAAGCCAUCUACGGUAACCCAGUAGAAAGGGUAAGCCUGUUGGCUUAGGAAAACUGAAUGGCAUUCAGUUUCUUCAAAGAAAUUUGGGACAGAUGUGGGUUUUUACUUCUUCUUCUUCUUCAACAAACCCAGAAGACGAAAAAUGUAUUUUAUUUCCUGUGAAAUGCAUUUUUCUGUUCAUCUCAGUAUGUGGGACUGUUGAAGUUUAUAAGUUUGGCAGUGUUCUAACGUGGCCAUCCUGUUCUCCUUUAGAGACUUAUUAAAUGUAUUUUUUAAAUGAAAACAGAA